This 1290-nucleotide long non-coding RNA is filed under the name Chrysolophus pictus (golden pheasant). Its description in RNAcentral is "lncRNA (ENSCPIG00010010832.1)". The record is from RNAcentral. Lineage: Eukaryota; Metazoa; Chordata; Aves; Galliformes; Phasianidae.
AUGGAUGUCCCCAUGCUGGUGGCACUCAGUGUGUGGUUGUGUCCCCAUGGUGGCACUCAGUCCAUGGCCUUGUCCCCAUGGUGGUGGCACUCAGCACAUGGCCGUGUCCCCAUGGUGGUGGCACUCAAUGUGCGGCUGUGUCCCCAUGGUGGCACUCAGCACAUGGCUGUCCCCAUGCUGGUGGCACUCAGUGUGUGGUUGUGUCCCCAUGGUGGCACUCAGUCCAUGGCCCUGUCCCCAUGGUGGUGGCACUCAGUGUGUGGCCAUGUCCCCAAAAUGCUGACACUCAGUGUGUGGCUGUGUCCCCAUGGUGGCACUCAGUCCAUGGCCGUGUCCCCAUGCUGGUGGCACUCAGUGUGCGGCCGUGUCCCCAUGGUGGUGGCACUCAGCAUCAUGGUUGUCCCCAUGGUGGUGGCACUCAGUGUGUGGUUGUGUCCCCAUGGUGGCACUCAGUCCAUGGACCUCUCAGUGUGCAGCCGUGUCCCCAUGGUGGCACUCAGCAUCAUGACUGUCCCCAGGGUGGUGGCACUCAGUGUGCAGCCGUGUCCCCAUGGUGGCACUCAGCACAUGGCUGUCCCCAUGCUGGUGGCACUCAGCAUCAUGACUGUCCCCAUGGUGGUGGCACUCAGUGUGGGGCCAUGUCCCCACAAUGGUGGCACUCCAUGUGUGGCUGUGUCCCCAUGGUGGUGGCACUCAGCCCCUGGUCGUGUCCCCAUGGUGGUGGCACUCAGUGUGUGUUCAUGUCCCCAAAAUGGUGGCACCCCAUGUGUGGCUGUGACCCCAGGGUGGUGGCACCCAACACAUGGCCGUGUCCCCAUGGUGGCACUCAGCCCCUGGUCGUGUCCCCAUGGUGGUGGCACUCAGUGUGUGGCUGUGACCCCCUGGUGGUGGCACUCAGCCCCUGGUCAUGUCCCCAUGGUGGUGGCACCCAACGUGUGGCCAUGUCCCCAUGGUGGUGGCACUGUGUGGUUGUGUCCCCAUGGUGGUGGCACUCCAUGUGUGCUUGUGUCCCCAACAUGGUGGCACCCAACGUGUGGCCAUGUCCCCAUGGUGGUGGCACUCAACCCAUGGCCAAUCCCAGCUGUGGUGACACCGACCCCACAGCCAUGUCCCCAUGUUGGUGACCCUUGGGCUGUGCCACCCACCGUGCCCCCAAUGUCCCCACCACAGUGCCACCACGUCUGUGCCACUGUCCCCUCCACAGUGCCAUGUCUGUCCCCAAUGUCCCAACGUGUGGCCAUGUCCCCAUGGUGGUGGCACUCAACCCAUGGCCAAUCCCAGCUGUGGUGA